RNAcentral lists this ribosomal RNA (2097 nucleotides) under Triticum aestivum (bread wheat). RNAcentral's name for it is "partial small subunit ribosomal RNA". Lineage: Eukaryota; Viridiplantae; Streptophyta; Magnoliopsida; Poales; Poaceae. The record is from RNAcentral.
AUGACCAGUAUCUCCACCAACCAGUUCGGCUCCGGCGGCAGCAAUGGAGGGUCUGCCUCCAGGCCGCACGGCAGGGAUAUGGUGAUUUGGACCGAAGAGAUGAAUGAGUAUCUCAUCGAUGCGCUCAUGCACCAGCAGGACAUUGGGAACAGGAGCGCCGAGGGCAGGUUCUUGACCGGCGCCUAUGAAAGCGUCAUCACCGGGGUCGGCGAGAGGUUCGGGGUGGUGAUCGACAGGUCCAACAUCAAGAACCGUCUCAAGCAUGUCAAGGACAUGUUCCAUGAGUGCGAGAACCUUUUCGAUAAGCAGAGCGGGAUUAAAUGGAACCCGGCGACCCGGAGGUUCCACGCCGACCCUCAAGUCUGGAGGGAAUUCAUUGAGAGAAAACCAGAAGCCAAGAAAUGGAUGACGAAGACCAUUGAUCAUUACGAUAGGUUAUUGGAGUUAUUUGGUAAAGAUAGGGCACCUCCGGCUUCUGAGAACUCGAAAGGUCCUUCGAAAAAAAAGGCGCGAAUAGAACCGCCAAAGGAUAGACCUCAACGUCAACAGACGUCAUCAAAUGGCUUUGAGUUAGCAAUCGUCCAAGGUUCAAAUCAAGUAAUGGAUAAAAAUGAGCUGCCUGGUGCUGUGGUAGCAGAAAAUAACAUAAUUGGGGAACUCGAUUUAUCAGAAUUGUGCAAAAGCGAGAAUGGCCUUGUUGCCAUACCUGUUCAUGGUAAUGCAUAUGGCAAGGGUUUGCCCUAUGCUCCUGAAAAUUGGCCGUCUCCUGGAGAUCAGUGGCAAUGGAAAGUGGGGAACAGAAUUGCUGCAGGUGGGCAUUGGGUGGACAGAUAUCUUGCCCCACCCUCGCGUUUUCGUGAUGCUACUGGUAAAAAGACGACAUUCACAAGUAGACUGAAAGUUGGAGAGUUUAUCAAGAGCAACUUUCCAGAUGUUGAUCCUAGCACAUUUUUCUCUAUGUUCAUAUGGAAGAUCCCUGCUGCAGAAGGCGGGAUUCAAAGAGGAACUCUUCAAGUGGAACGUGUUGAACCUGAAGAUGGCCUGGCGGAUCCUGAUGGACCAUGCAAGGCUCGGAAUAAGGCAUGCAAUCUUGGGAAAGAAGGGUUUAUUGAAUCAUCACCAGCAGGGAAUUGUGACAUCUGCUGCGUACAUCCUGAUUUCUGUUGUACAUGCUGUUGCAUUCUCUGUGGCAAGGCUGUUAACAAUUCCUUUGGAGGUUAUAGUUACAUCAAGUGUGAGGCAGUUGUGGCAGAGAACUACAUCUGUGGGCAUCUUGCCCACCUUGACUGUGCUCUGAGGAUUUUCAUGGCUGGAACUGUUGGAGGAAGCAUCGGGUUGGAUGUGCAAUAUUACUGCAGGCGGUGUGACAACAAAACUAACCUGAUGAUGCAUGUGGAGAAACUGCUGGAAACAUGUCGCUCUCUUGGAUCGAGGAGUGAGAUUGAGCCAAUCCUUAAUAUGGGCUUGUGCAUCUUGCGUGGUUCAAGACAAGUGCAAGCGAAAAGCUUGGAGGACUAUAUGGCAUCAGUGAUGGAAAAGGUGAAUAAUGGGGUUGAUCUUGCUGAAGUAUGGAAUAUGGAGGAUAGUGAUGGCAUGCCAAUACUGAAUGCAGAAGAAAGUUCCCCACCUGUCGCUGGUGUCACGGUGCUAGGGACUGAGCCACAGUACCCAUAUCUGACUGAUCCAAUGGUUGAUAAUGAGCUGCAGAGGGCUGCCGAAAGUGUUCCAAUUUUCAUUACUGGUGAUCACACCGAGAUGUCUCUCAAAUUUGAGGAUGAGAUAGAUAAUUCCCUUCUAGAACUGAAGAAAUCUCAGGAAGCAGAAUACAGGCUGGCAGAGCAGAAGCUUUAUUCUCAGAAAGAUUAUAUCCUCAGUCUGUAUCGGCAGCUUGAGUCAGACAGGUCCCAGCUUGCAGAUCCUAACCCCGUAUCCGAUAUCUCAAGCUACAGCGUGCUUCUCUCCAACAUUACUAACCGAGUGGAACAAGUGAAGCGCGAGGAGGAGAAGUUCCAGACCAUGCUCAAAAUCUCCAAGGGAUUCCGGAAAGCACCGGCGAACAUCAAGGAGCACUUUGGGUUGCCGCCACCAGCGGAGUAG